Long non-coding RNA from Trachemys scripta elegans, 1117 nucleotides. RefSeq lists it as uncharacterized. The record is from RefSeq and is a predicted model, not a curated record. The transcript is spliced from 3 exons. NCBI's taxonomy places the organism in Eukaryota, Metazoa, Chordata, Testudines, Emydidae.
CUGUUCCUGCAAAUCAGAGCCAUCUUUUUUCCUUUGUUUUUAGAAGUAGUUUAAUUGUCCAAAGUAGAAUGUAAGUUUAGGAAUAGUAUAGUAUUUCAGGGAAGAAGCAUGAGGGACAACAUUGUGCAUAUAAAGGUCCUCCUGAAUGCUUUGUUUAUUGAAUGUAAAACAUGGUAACAUUGAAAUACUAAGGCCAGAUUCAGGAUUCAAACCACAUUGAACAAGAAGUUCCUUCCAUACAGAAGAGAAAAACAUACUUUCUUUCAGAUAUUCUCAAUCAAUUAGUGGAACCUGCAGUCAGAUUUUUCUCAAGAAAAGAUGAUCUCAUCAGGAUUGUGCGUAGCUCAGGGAGACUUAUUAGAUAACUCCACUGCAGAGCAGCAUUGGAUGGCUCAUCUGAAGAACUGAGAGGUAAAGUGGCAUGCCCAACGUGACACAGCAAGUCAGUGACAAAGCCUGAAACAGAACCUAGAUACUGACUCCUGGUUCUGUAUCUUAAUCAAAAACCCAUCUUUCCUGUCCCCGCAUCCGAUUCCUUAUUUUGAGGGUACUGUGCUUUAUUGCCAGCUACAUGGCUAAAUCUUAGUUUUACUAAGGCUCCAAUACUUCAUCAAGAUCCACCAGCACAAACCCACGUAUCCUUGUGGAGCCCCAUUGAGAUCAAUGGAACUCUGUAGAGGUGUGAGCUGGCAGAUCCCAAAGCAGGCCUAAGUACUUCAGUUCUGACUCAGUCCUUAGCUAAAAUGCCCAUUGACUACAAUGGAUGAUUUGCUUGAAUAAAAAAUGUAUUAAAACUGGGCAAGGACAUAAAGAUUUAACCCAACGAGGAAGAGAGAAUGCAAUUAUCUCGUCAAUUUUAAAGUGUCUUAUUUGAUUAUAAACUCAACUUCCAGAGCUGACAUAGGGAUUUUAAUAUGUAAUGCUUAACUUUCAAAUAAGUGGAAACCCCUUAAUUUGGAUACUCAGAUCAGCGGAUAGGUACAUAAUGAAUUAUUUUUAAAUUAAUCUACGUAACAAAUUAGGAAUCUGGAUAUCCUAUAAGCAGGGUUUAAAGUAGACUGGAAAAAGAGUGGGAGCUCUCAUCACCAGCUAAGGAGGAGGGGGACCUGUAGGGGAA